Molecule: ribosomal RNA, 440 nt
Filed under: uncultured bacterium
Lineage: Bacteria
Description: partial 16S ribosomal RNA
Rfam family: Bacterial small subunit ribosomal RNA
Source: RNAcentral
CCUACGGGAGGCAGCAGUGGGGAAUAUUGCACAAUGGGCGCAACCCUGAUGCAGCGAUGCCGCGUGAGCGAAGAAGAAUUUCGGUAUGUAAAGCUCUAUCAGCAGGGAAGAAAAUGACGGUACCUGAAUAAGAAGCUCCGGAUAAAUACGUGCCAGCAGCCGCGGGAAAACGUAUGGAGCAAGGGUUAUCCGGAUUUACUGGGCGUAAAGGGAGCGUAGGCGGCUUGCCAAGUAUGAUGUGAAAUACCGGGGCUCAACCCCGGGGUUGCAUUGGAAACUGGCAGGCUGGAGUGCCGGAGAGGCAGGCGGAAUUCCUAGUGUAGCGGUGAAAUGCGUAGAUAUUAGGAAGAACACCAGUGGCGAAGGCGGCCUGCUGGACUGUGGCUGACGCUGAGGCUCGAAAGCGUGGGGAGCAAACAGGAUUAGAUACCCGUGUAGUC